GAGAAUUUAUCAUAUAUAUAUCAUACAGACAUGUGAGACAAGAGGAGGACUAGUAUAGAAAAAUUCAGAGUCAUAAUAAAGAGGUCGAGUUCAGUUUAUAGACUCAAGGUAAGUUUGAUGGAGUAAAGGGUUCUGAAUAGAACCCUAGUCCAAAAAAAAAGUCAAGCCUGCCAAAAACCCCAAAUACUAGGGUUUCUGACUCAAAUCAGAUGCAUAGACGAGAAGACAAUAACUAGAACAAGCUCAGUAGUCUUUUCAGAGACUUAUGAGAAAACAAAUAAAUAGCACAACAGGCUCAAGACAAAUGUAAUGUAGAAACCAAUUUGAAGCAUAGGGAACACGUUUUAAGAAAAACUUGUCACUCAAACAAGUUCAGAAGAGAAAAAGCGAUACAAGCUUAGGAAAACAGCAGAUGAAACAUGUCUAGAAAGAACUCAAACAAAGCCCAGAAGAAGACGAGUAAAGAGCUAAAGCUUAGUAGAAAAGUCAGUAAAGGGACACGGGGUAAAUGAACAUGUGAAAGCAUGAUAUAGAAAUUAGUAGAAGAAAGAACGAAGCAUAGUAAUGCAGGCAUAAGAACAUAACAUAGGCCGAUACACUUAAUGAAAAGAAGAAAAAGAAUCAUGCUUAAUAAAAAGAAAAUAGUAUAUCAAAUACAUGAAUUAGAGAAGAAAAUAUACGAGACAAUCACAGAAAAACACACAUAAUGAAAAGAGUAGAAAGAAUCAAAAGGUUUUUCAAAAACCCUAGUUUAAAAAUCAAACGAUUUUAAAAAGAAAAAUUGGGGAAAACGCUUAAAACGUUUAAUAUAGCACAGAUAUAACAUAGAUCUAAGAAAACAACCAGAGAAAAACCUCGAAUAACUUUAGGGUUUCAUAAAAACUGUAGAAAUGAGAAGGCUUGGAAGAAAGUCUGGUCUCGAGUCGGAGAUGGCUAGAGAUAGGCUCUUAAAGCUUGAACACGCCAGAGCAAGGCCGAAGAGGCUAUAGAACCACGGAUCUGCAGAGGAUCAGAACGGAUACCAUCGAGGUCAGACCUCGAAAUCUCAAACACCCAGGGUUUAUGGGUGAAGGGAGGUGAGUACAGGCCGUCUGUGACCGGAGAAGCCAUGGAUUCCCGUGAGAUUAUGGUCGGAGAAGGGUGAGAGGGGCUAGGGUUUCAGGACCCUUUGAGUGAGUUUGAGAGAGGGAGAGAUUUCAGAGGUGGCUG
RNAcentral lists this long non-coding RNA (1209 nucleotides) under Nicotiana benthamiana. Its description in RNAcentral is "long non-coding RNA (NBEN_LNC017478)". The record is from RNAcentral. Lineage: Eukaryota; Viridiplantae; Streptophyta; Magnoliopsida; Solanales; Solanaceae.